GAUGAGUAUGUAAACAUCGUGUCGCAGGAAAAUCCCAACCCUAGCCGCCUGCCCUCGUUGGAGAAGAAGGACCAGCUGCUGGAAAAGGAGAUUGACCAUCAGCCGCUGCUACACCGAAGUCAACACUGACCGCCAAAAAGGUAAAAUUCUCUCAUACCCACUCGAAAUUCGAUUCUGAGUCUCCUCAUGGCCAUAUCAGAGUAAAAGGAGCGGUAGGUGAGCCAGAAACUACGAGCAAAUCACAGCGGAGCCGCUGCUACCUAAACCCUAAAACUCUUCCGAUAAGCCCCUUUCCGUUUCCCGUUUCACCAAUUUUUUUAUCAUUGUGUUCAUCAUCUUUUUAUGUGCAUAUUAGCCGAAGAAUAAACUCCAA
Molecule: long non-coding RNA, 373 nt
Filed under: Carica papaya (papaya)
Lineage: Eukaryota; Viridiplantae; Streptophyta; Magnoliopsida; Brassicales; Caricaceae
Description: long non-coding RNA (CPAP_LNC004593)
Source: RNAcentral